This is a long non-coding RNA of Folsomia candida, 752 nucleotides long. RefSeq lists it as uncharacterized. The record is from RefSeq and is a predicted model, not a curated record. The transcript is spliced from 2 exons. Lineage: Eukaryota; Metazoa; Arthropoda; Collembola; Entomobryomorpha; Isotomidae.
AGUGAAUAAUUUAAAAUGAAAAUAAUAAUAAAAUAUUAACGAACUCACGUAAUGUGAAACGGAGUUUACAUGCUUUAAUUUUUUUCAUGUUAAAAAAUUUAAUGAUUAUUUUAGAUGAAUUAGAAUCUGUAUUAAACUAUUUGGAGGAUCAAUUUGAAAAAUUAAAUGCUUUAAUUUUUUCAUGUUAAAAAAUUUAAUGAUUAUUUUAGAUGAAUUAGAAUCUGUAUUAAACUAUUUGGAGGAUCAAUUUGAAAAAUUAAAUACUUUAAUUUUUUCAUGUUAAAAAAUUUAAUGAUUAUUUUAGAUGAAUUAGAAUCUGUAUUAAACUAUUUGGAGGAUCAAUUUGAAAAAUUAAAUGCGUUGGCCAAUAUUAUGCCCAAUCCAGAAGCCAAAGCCAACACAUUUGUGAAAAGCUGUCAAGAGGGUCUAACUCUACAACUGAGCAAUCUUAAGGCCACGUUGAUUGAAAUAAAAUCGGAGCUGCGGCUUUCAAACCCAGAUCGGGUAUUCAGAACGGACAAACUUGAUGUUGACGAUACGGAGAAAGCAGAAGAAGUGGAAGAGGGCGCAAAUUUGGUAUAAAAUCUGGAGGAACUAUCAAUUGGCGAUGAAAAGAAUGUGAGUACUUGAAAAUGCCACCAAAAAGUAUAAAUUUAUCAGAGUUAAUUAUUUUCAUUAUUACGACCAUUCAUUCAACCAUUAUUGUAUCAAAAAUACCCUCGUAUAAUUAAAAGUAAGUAUUAUGCACAAUA